Psammomys obesus (fat sand rat) is the source of this 140-nucleotide small nucleolar RNA. RefSeq annotates it as small nucleolar RNA SNORA48. NCBI's taxonomy places the organism in Eukaryota, Metazoa, Chordata, Mammalia, Rodentia, Muridae. The transcript has a single exon. The record is from RefSeq and is a predicted model, not a curated record.
CUCCCCGGCAAUGGACAAAGAGACACCUUGUUGAUGGUAUUGUUCUUAUAUCAGUCAGGGGCAGAGCAGAUGGCAGUCUUUUGUUUAUCCUAGCUUUAUGCCUGUCUUGGUGGCUAAAGUUGUCUUCACUGUGCAUAAUU